GCCCUAUGACGAGAUUUACACGACGGUCUUCUGAAGUCAUAUCUGUAGACGCUAUACGUGUGCUGAGGC
Ancylostoma duodenale is the source of this 69-nucleotide non-coding RNA. Lineage: Eukaryota; Metazoa; Nematoda; Chromadorea; Rhabditida; Ancylostomatidae. The record is from Rfam.